RNAcentral lists this long non-coding RNA (137 nucleotides) under Felis catus (domestic cat). RNAcentral describes it as "lncRNA (ENSFCAG00000046391.2)". The record is from RNAcentral. Lineage: Eukaryota; Metazoa; Chordata; Mammalia; Carnivora; Felidae.
AUCUGGGAGUUGUACAGAAGACUUUUUGAGCUUGCUACUCCUAUCUCUUUAUAUUUGCACGUGUGGACACAGACACCAACCCUCUUUCUUGUUGUAAGUAAUCAUAGCAUAUUGCCUUAGUCCACUUGGGCUCCCAU